This 283-nucleotide unclassified non-coding RNA is filed under the name rhizosphere metagenome. Its description in RNAcentral is "partial ribosomal RNA internal transcribed spacer region". The record is from RNAcentral.
GUAGGUGAACCUGCGGAAGGAUCAUUAUCACGUAUCCACGUAUAAACCAUUGUGAACUGUUUUUUAACCUUUGUUGGUGGGUAAAACAAGGAAAGAAAAAGGAAAUUUAUUUCUCUUUUCUUCUCUUUUUUUAUCACAGCUAACAAAGUGUAAUUUAACCCUUUAUUAACCAUUAUAACCCAAACUUUAUAACUUUAUGAACUAAUUUUUAUUUUAUACUCUUCGGAGAUAAAAUUCAUUACGAAACAAAGAACAACUCUUAGCAACGGAUAUCUUGGUUCUC